CUGGAUGCUGACGAGCGGCGGACGGGUGAGUAAUGCAUAGGAAUCUGCCCGAUAGUGGGGGAUAACCUGGGGAAACCCAGGCUAAUACCGCAUACGUCCUACGGGAGAAAGGGGGCUCCGGCUCCCGCUAUGGGAUGAGCCUAUGUCGGAUUAGCUAGUUGGUGAGGUAAUGGCUCACCAAGGCCACGAUCCGUAGCUGGUCUGAGAGGAUGAUCAGCCACAUCGGGACUGAGACACGGCCCGAACUCCUACGGGAGGCAGCAGUGGGGAAUAUUGGACAAUGGGCGAAAGCCUGAUCCAGCCAUGCCGCGUGUGUGAAGAAGGCCCUCGGGUUGUAAAGCACUUUCAGCGAGGAAGAACGCCUAGCGGUUAAUACCCGCUAGGAAAGACAUCACUCGCAGAAGAAGCACCGGCUAACUCCGUGCCAGCAGCCGCGGUAAUACGGAGGGUGCAAGCGUUAAUCGGAAUUACUGGGCGUAAAGCGCGCGUAGGUGGCUUGAUAAGCCGGUUGUGAAAGCCCCGGGCUCAACCUGGGAACGGCAUCCGGAACUGUCAAGCUAGAGUGCAGGAGAGGAAGGUAGAAUUCCCGGUGUAGCGGUG
This 600-nucleotide ribosomal RNA is filed under the name Vreelandella aquamarina. Its description in RNAcentral is "bacterial SSU rRNA". It matches the Rfam family "Bacterial small subunit ribosomal RNA", at positions 81 to 683 of the family's 1533-position model. The record is from RNAcentral. Lineage: Bacteria; Pseudomonadati; Pseudomonadota; Gammaproteobacteria; Oceanospirillales; Halomonadaceae.